This is a long non-coding RNA of Cucumis melo (muskmelon), 1651 nucleotides long. RefSeq lists it as uncharacterized. The record is from RefSeq and is a predicted model, not a curated record. NCBI's taxonomy places the organism in Eukaryota, Viridiplantae, Streptophyta, Magnoliopsida, Cucurbitales, Cucurbitaceae. The transcript is spliced from 4 exons.
AUCUUGUUUGUUAAUUUUCAGAUUCUUUUCUUGGGUUUGUAGGCUACUUUGGCUGAUUCCUUUCUAGCAUAUCUUGAUGAACUCUCUAAUGUAAACAAGUUUCAGGUUUCUAAAGGCUUUUUACUUCUCCGUGUAAAUGAAGUAAUAACUAUGUUGGUUGUUAUGUAAGUGAAGUCUUUAAUUUGUUUGGUUUACUUGGUGACUUUAAUUUGUUUUGUUAAUUUGAUGGAGUUAAUUGUUGUAAUGUUUAUAAGACUUGACCUUAAACUUAGUUUUGUAGCUAUUUUUGUUAGUUCUUACUAUAGCAAAAAACUCUCUUAUCUUAAAGUUUUGAUGAGAAAUUUUCAUGAGCUAGUUUUAUUUUGACGAUUGUUUAUUUUAAAGUACUUUUCAUAACUUAGUAUAACCUUUUUGUUGUAGUUAAGGUGUUUGAAAAAAUAUCUGAGAGAUCUUCACUAGAUUUUCAUAUUUACUAAUGUGGCAGCUAUUGGGUCUCCAUGGUUGUCAUUAAAGUUUAACUUUAUUUUGAGAUGUAUUUACGAAACUGUGAGCUAUAAAAUAUGUUUUCUUGUCAUGUUUCAUGAGUAGAAAUCUUCAUGGAGAGUUUGAAGACUUGUCACAGACUUAAGCUAAUACAAUUUCGUACUCAUCUUUUUCAUUAGAGAAAAGUCAUUCUACUGAAAAAAAGAAGAGAUAUUCUCCCUCUCUUCCUUUUGUUGUGGUGGAACUCAUAGAAAUGACUUUUCCUUUUUCGAUUUUGGUUUUAUAGUAAGUGAGUGGUCCAGGGACUUUAUAAAAUAGCUGGAAGCAAACUCAAUGGCUUGAUUGCUGGGGCUUGGGGAUGUCUUUGAGAGAAAAAGAACAAAUGAGAUGCAGAAGAUGGGUUACAAGCGUUCAGCAAAGAAGUGCAAAGAAAAAUGGGAAAAUAUGAACAAAUAUUUCAAAAGGACCAUUGUAACUAGGAAGGCUAGUAUUGCAAAUGAUAAGACAUGUCCAUAUUUUCAAGAAUUAGAUAUUCUUUAUAGAAAUGGAGUGGUAAAUACUGGAGCUGUCUUUGAUAGUACAAAUACUGGAAAUAAUUCCAAGGCUGAAGUAUAGAUCCUUUUCAUGAAGAUGCUUGUUAGCAGCAGCAGACAUUAUUUAUUUCUACCAAACAGAAGUAUACAAGUAGGCUGCCCUUUGCUAGCAGCAGACAAGACAAGGAACAGAAACUCUGUAUGAUAUUUAUUUCUGGCCAUAGUAAGCUUGUGGGUUGGUGCUGUGAUUAGUAGCUGGUGCAAUUUCAUAACUGUCUUGUAUGUUGGUUAUCGUCCAUUCCCGCUGCAGAUGUAGGGUUCUUGUGUUGUUGGCAUCUUUCCAGUAGUCCCUAUGACAAAGUUUUGCUAUCAAUCACUUGUCUGGUUGUGAUUAGAAGAAUCAUAAACUAAGGAAUUUGGAUCUUAAAGCUCAAGAAAGAAGAGUUUGUGAAUGCUGGGUUUGUUAACAUUGCAUAUUUUUUUGCUUCUUUUGUCAUUUAAGUGAUGUUGCUAAUACAAAGUUGAAGGUUGAAGACUGAGAAGGCGUUUAGGAUUUCUUAUUUAAGUCUUGUAUUAGGAUCUUUGUUUCAUGUACUAUUGUAGAAUGUAUAUAUAAACACAAUAUUAAAUUUUCA